ACGUGUCCAGCCUCGACGCAAUACGACACAAAUCACAUUAUCUCCGUAUCGUUGGCUUGGACGCGCAACGACGCGGACAAAGGGGCGCCGACGAAGGAUUUUCACGGUAUUUCGAAUCAGCCUCGCUCCAUCUCUCUCAUCUAUGUUGACACUAUACUUACGGGUCUAUUUGGAUACGAAUACUUCUCUCAAGAAGAGUGGAAAUGCUGUAACUAGCACGAGAGCGACAUAUCGAGUUGUUGAAAUCUGACUCGAGAGACAUCUGAUUUAAGAGUUGCAGAAUACAAGGGAUACUUGUCUAGUCGGUGGUUCGACUCGAAGUGUCGUGAGAACAGAAGUUUCCGAGCUGCGCUGAUAAUCCGGCUGGAAAAACCGUAACGGGACAUGACUGGCAGCGUUUAUGACUUUGGGGUAGACGUGACUGCCUACAUCCAAAUAUCUGUAAGUGGUCAAUGCUACAUUCUACGUGAACUGCGAGCCAUGUGCCGGUAUAGCCUCCAUGGAAUUCAGCACCAUCCAGUUUCCAAGGU
Hylaeus anthracinus is the source of this 530-nucleotide long non-coding RNA. RefSeq lists it as uncharacterized. The transcript is spliced from 3 exons. The record is from RefSeq and is a predicted model, not a curated record. Lineage: Eukaryota; Metazoa; Arthropoda; Insecta; Hymenoptera; Colletidae.